UACAGUAAGACGUUAGGUAUGCUACUAGUUACGUUAAAUAAAUUAAGCCCCCUCUAUCUGUCAAGAAGGCGAAGCAUCCGCUUCCUAUCUCUAGCAGUUAGCUGUGUUCGAGUGCCAUCGUUUGUGAGCUCAUCGUUGCUGCUCAUUGAGAUGGAUGGAGGGAGGAGCGCUAGCCGCUGAAGAAAAGGAAGGAAAGAGCAU
RNAcentral lists this long non-coding RNA (201 nucleotides) under Sorghum bicolor (sorghum). Its description in RNAcentral is "long non-coding RNA (SBIC_LNC009252)". Lineage: Eukaryota; Viridiplantae; Streptophyta; Magnoliopsida; Poales; Poaceae. The record is from RNAcentral.